This 5526-nucleotide long non-coding RNA is filed under the name Homo sapiens (human). RNAcentral describes it as "HSALNT0324816". The record is from RNAcentral. Lineage: Eukaryota; Metazoa; Chordata; Mammalia; Primates; Hominidae.
AAUUUACCCUUUUUUUGUACACUCAGUUCCUCCUAUGUUGAUAGCCCAGCCAACAUAUAUCAGCUCUUGCAUAUGGGUGGCAUGGACUCAAGAGACGAUCUGAGAGGAGAGAAUCAAAGAGGUAGAGGGAAGGAAAGAAAGCCUACUUUGGUCUAUGUAGUAAAGGCAGUUGGUCAAAGAGAGGAGAAAAAAAUGCCUAGACAGCAGCUGGUGAGAGAGUUAAAUUUUGAGUUGCUUGGCAGAAAAUUGGGGGCUGUAUCAGUCAGGACAGGCAGCAUCAUGCUGCAGUAAUGACAAACCCAACAAUAACAUCUCAGUGGCAAGUACCAUGAGAGGCUGCUUUUUCACUUGUUGUUACAUACACAUGAUGGUGUUCUUUCCAGAGAUGGCUGGUCUUCUGAGUCAUUUGUCAUUCUCCUUCUAGGAUGCAGGCUGAGGAGCAGCCACAAGUGAAGUGUUGCCUGUCACCUCAGCAGUGGAAAAAAGAGGGCACUUCCUCUUUUUUCAGGGACUACUCUCAUUUCUCCUGCUGGAUGUGACCAUGUUACCCUGUGGGUGACUCAGACCACCUUUGCUCCCUUCUCAGUGGCCAAACCCCAUUAUAUGACCACCAAUGAGUUGGAUAGGGCAGGGCUGUAAUGCUCCCAUAGGUAACAGGGCUUUCAAUCAAGGAAGAAUCAUGCCUUCUGCUUUAGGGUGGAAGGGAAUGUGAUCUCCUAACACUCAUAGUAGAUUAUGAGCACACAUCCUCAUGUGAAAAUACUGUGGGCACUGUGCAUAAAAUAAGAUUUGUUUAAUUAUCUCUGGUGGUGGCAGUUCCUUCCUCAAAGUCAUAUUUGUCCUCACAUCAACUGGGCUUCACACCUCCCAGAGUCACAGGGCUGGACAGGGUCUUCCUCACCUGAAGCAAUUCAUUUUGAGAUGUAUUUUCUCCCAUUCUGUAGGUUCCCUGUUCAGUCUGAUGCUAGUUUCUUUCGCUGUGCAGAAGUCUUUUAGUUCAAUUAGAUCCCAUUUGUCAAUUUUGGCUUCUGUUGCCAUUGUUUUUGGUGUUUUAGUCAUGAGGUCUUUGCCCAUGCCUAUGAUGUCCUAAAUGGUAUUGCCUAGGUUUUCUUCCAGGGUUUUUACAGUUUUAGGUCUUCCGUUUAAGUCUUUAAUCCAUCUUGAGUUAAUUUUUGUAUAAGGUAUACAAAUUUUUGUAUAAGGUAUAAUUUUGUAUAAGGAAGGGAUCCAGUUUCAGUUUUCUGCAUAUGGCACACCGCCACCAGCCCUCCCAACAGACGGGGCCUGGUCAAGACGACAGCCACUGAAAGCCACUCUCAGCAUGGAGCAGGGAGGCCUUGGGGUCGAAUUACCCUGGGAUUGAAUUACUAGAAGCACACUCAAAAUGAAGAAAGUUGCUUCUAAAAAUAGGAAAAAGAAACCCACACGGAUGAAAGUCAAAGAGGAGAAAAAGCAGAACAAAAACCAUUUGGCUUUACAAACAUCCACACAAUUUUAAAGUAGGGUUCCAUCCUGUCCCUCUGGAACAACAACGGCUAUGACGAAAAAGCAGCCAGGUUCUCUUUUCCUACAAGACCUGCUUUUUCAACUUCUUGGUGAAAUGUGAUGUAGCAGCAGAGAGGCCCAGCUUGCACCCUGAGAUCACAGGAGCGCUUGCGGGUGGCUUCAUCUUUAACCCCUUGAGGCCACCAAACAUCCAUUACCUGGCCAGGCAGAGCUGAAGACGACCCUCACGGGGCUCUAACCUGAGCCCAUAGCAAACUGUUUUCCCUGGAUCUGGGACAGAAUCCCUUCAGAAGCCCACUCAUGGGCAAGGCAGCUUCGAGUGGACUUGCAGCUGUUGAGAACUGACCUCCCAGUGGGAGCUCGGGCCUUGAUUCCCCACUGACUCCUCAAAGUGUCUCCCAGAGCCUAAACUGUCUCCCAGAGCCUGUCUCCCAGAGCCUAAACUGUCUCUCAGAGCCUAAACUGUCUUUCAGAGCCUGUCUCCCAGAGCCUGUCUCCCAGAGCCUAAACUGUCUCCCAGAGCCUAAACUGUCUCCCAGAGCCUGUCUCCCAGAGCCUAAACUGUCUCCCAGAGCCUGUUUCCCAGAGCCUAAACUGUCUCCCAGAGCCUGUCUCCCAGAGCCUAAACUGUCUCUCAGAGCCUAAACUGUCUUUCAGAGCCUGUCUCCCAGAGCCUAAACUGUCUUUCAAAGCCUAAACUGUCUUUCAGAGCCUGUCUCCCAAAGUCUGUCUCCCAGAGCCUGUCUCCCAGAGCCUGUCUCCCAGAGCCUAAACUGUCUUUCAAAGCCUAAACUGUCUUUCAGAGCCUGUCUCCCAAAGUCUGUCUCCCAGAGCCUGUCUCCCAGAGCCUAACUGUCUCCCAGAGCCUGUCUCCCAGAGCCUAAACUGUCUCCCAGAGCCUAACUGCCUCCCAGAGCCUAAACUGUCAGCUCUGCAGGGUCCUAUUCCCUGCCACCUUCGAAGCCAUCUCAGCACGACUCACCUGCUGAGUGGCAGGCAGGGCGAAUGGUCCCCUACUCACCUUUGCUGGCUUUUCAUUGACAAAUUGCCUUUGUCCAUACAAGAAAUGAAUUCUCAAGAUAUAUCUUAAAUGCCCCCUGGUUGUGAACAUGGCUGAGGGUGCUAUGUAAUAAUAAGUAGUUUUUGUCUUCAAAUAAUAAUUCUAGCAUAUGAUCAAAAGCAAAUGCAUCAAGCUUUGUAACAGGCAACAGCCCCAGCUCGGGGGUUUGGGAUGCCUUGACCAGCAGCCUGCAAACCUGGCUUCAUGGGCUCCCCGAGUGUCACAGCCGCUGACAGCCUGCUCUGUGUGGCCCCAAGGACCUCACCCAGCCGGCCACGCUCCCCGUGGCACAGUGGCCCUCCUCCGCUUCUCUCCGAAUGAUGUGAAGCAAAUGUUACUGGAGAGCCUUCUUUCUGCCCUCUGGAGCGAUUCUUCUUAAAGUGAGCUCCCUAGAGCACUGCCCUGUCCCCCAGAUGUGCCCUGGAGCUCUGAUGCCCAAAUCCAAUGCUGGAGCCCACAUGCCAGGCGUGGGAAUGCCAAAGGACACGAAGCCAGGGGAAGUAUGCUCAGAAAAUGUUCAUAAUGUAAAAAGUCUUCAUUUCAUGCCUAAAUUGUCUGUUAGAAUUAAAUGUAAGCUCAUAUCAAAUUUAGCACAAAUGUAUAGGCCUAAUUAUUUUUAGUUUAAUGUAGAGAUUAUGUAGAAUUUUGUAACUCAACUAGUUUGGGAACCACUUGAAAGGAUACAGCAACAACAGGCCAAUUAAACAGGAAAUUCUUGUCCUCUUCAAAGAGGAGAAGAUGAGAACAGAGACUAAGAAGGAUAAAGGAGAGAAUAAGACCAGGAAAUACUUCCCAGAAAGAGGAGGCAGGAUUUCGCGUUCAACAGAUGAGAAAGAGGACAGAGAAGAGCAGAAAACUAUUAAAAGGUAGGAUUCUGAUUCGAUGGGCAGAAAUGAUUUUUACAAUGAGAAAAGUUGCCCAUAAUUCUUGACUGGCAAUGUAUUUUACAAUGCUGUAAGCAUUUAUUUCAAUUUCUUCUGACUGUACAAAUUCCUUUUCUGUGCUUUAAUUUCAUGGCACCUUUAAUCCAUAAUGAUAAUGAAAAUAACACCUAACACUUACAUAACAUGCUACAAUUUUAAUUUAUAAGAUUUUAUAUAAUUUAAUCCUUCAAAUAAUGCCUUAUGUAAACACGGCUUUUACUUAAUUUUUAUGAGUGGGGAAACAGAGGAGUAAGAAAGAAAAUUAUAUGCCUUUGAUCGUGCAGGAAAUAUGCACUAACACUGGACUUAGAAUGGAAGUCCCUAACUCCCAAACAAACACAUGCACUGUUCAUCACAGGCAUAUGAAUUCUGGGUAAUGGAUUGGCUGAAAGCAACAGCCUUGCCAGAGAAGUCUAUCAUUAGCAGUGUAUCACCGAUUAAAUGGAUAAAGUUAUUCUAAAGAGGCUUCAACAAUGGAGAUCUUGAGUUUGUUCUUUUAGACAUUCUCUCCGCAUUUUUCCCUCACUUCUUCUACAGUUGACCCACUUCUGUCUUAACACAUUUUUAAAAUUAUGGUUAUGUAAUUAAGUGGCUCCUUGGUGACGUUUUUGAGGAAAUUUUGAAGUACUGUAUUAAUUCCUGAAAAGAGACAUGCAAGAUCUAUCUCCAAACCCUCAGAACUUGGGCACCACCCCAAUCAAACUGUUUCUUAGAAUGUGGAUGUAAAUACACCAAUUAGCAGUUCACUGAAUGAAGGGGGCUAUUGAAACUUACAAAACACAUGCGUGAUUGUUGAAAAGCUUGUCGAAUGUCUUCCCUCCCACAAUUCAAAUAUUAUUCAAACCAGUGAUUAAAGUUAAGAGCUGUUUCCAAUAAAUGACUCACAUCAUAUAUUGCCUUUCAAUUACCAAAUUAUCCAUGCUAUUGGCCAUUAACAGGCCACUCGAUUAAAAGGACAAUGGAAAAAGUAAUUCAGAUUCCAGCUUAAAGAUCUCCUCCUCUCACUUCCCAAUUAACACUUACAACAUGCUGGCCACAGGCAAUUCUCAGAGUGCUUUGCCUGACUUAAUUUUGCUUUUAGCACUCAGUGCCAGGAAUACCUAGAAAAUUAUCUACUAAUUAUCUGGCAUUAUCUAUGUUGGUUCAUGUCUAAAGAACAGCUCAUCUAAUUACAAGGCCCUUUGCUAUUUGACUCUAAAGAGUGGGUUUAACUGAGAAUUUCUCCAAAAGGGCUUGCACUAAGGGCUGGUAAUUAUGUGCUUUGCGUUCUUUGGAGGGAGUUCUCUCAGGUAUCAACAACAAACAGUUACUGAAAGGAUGCUUGCACAGCAGGUGCGCUGUAAGUAAUAAUUACAUCGUGACAUUUCCAGUGUUUUCUUCUACUGGACAAUUAGCAAACAGUAUGCUAACUUAUCCCUAACAUUCUCAAGAGAACUCUGAACUCUCACACCCCUUCUAAAAAGUCCAUGGAAUCUUCUACAGAGCAGACCUGCUAUAAUAGUAAAAAGUGAGUGCCCUCUGAGCAGGUGUUUUUUGAACAAGUUUAGGAUCGAAGAAAUAAAAUUUGAUUUUAUAGUAGGCUGGCAUCUAGUCUUAGUCAGUAUGCUACUGAGAACAUGGGAGUUAUAAAAUUGUCAGGGCUGAAGAGGUAUAUUAAUGACUGAAUUUAUGUGGCUGCUUUAUCCAUUUAAUAUGAGCAAGAACAUACCCCUAACAGGCUAGAAAAUUCUGAAAUGGUAGCUAAAACAAAGAAGCAUCUUUAAUUCCUAGGGUAAUAUGGCACGGUUAUUAUUGUUUUCCUUUAAAAUUUAAAGCAAUUACAAACCUCAAGAGAAGUUAGAAGUAUGGUUUAAAUAAUUUUUUUUCAUGAAUUGGGGAGGAAUUGACUGGCCUGAUGCCCCAUCACACUUAAAUACUCUGUUAAGCAUUUUCUACCAAAAAGGACACUCUCCUACAGAAUUCUACUAGAAAGUUCUGAGAGAAUUUUGACUUUGCUGAUGCAAGAUUUACAGCACCCUCAUUGCCCUUUCUUCCUUU